This 440-nucleotide ribosomal RNA is filed under the name uncultured bacterium. RNAcentral describes it as "partial 16S ribosomal RNA". It matches the Rfam family "Bacterial small subunit ribosomal RNA", at positions 338 to 795 of the family's 1533-position model. The record is from RNAcentral.
CCUACGGGUGGCAGCAGUAGGGAAUAUUGGUCAAUGGAGGCAACCCUGACGCAGCAACGCCGCGUGGAGGAUGAAGGUUUUCGGAUUGUAAACUCCUUUUGUUAGAGACGAUUAUGUCGCUAUCCAAAGAAUAAGCACCGGCUAAAUCCGUGCCAGCAGCCGCGGUAAUACAGGGGGUGCACGCGUUACUCGUAAUCACUGGGCGUAAAGAGCGCGUAGGCGGGUUAGCAAGUCAGAUGUGAAAUCCUAGGGCUUAACCAUAGAACUGCAUUUGAAACUGUUAUUCUAGAGUAUGGGAGAGGUAAGUGGAAUUCUUGGUGUAGGGGUAGAAUCCGUAGAGAUCAAGAGGAAUACUCAUGGCGAAGGCGACCAUCUAGAACAUAACUGACGCUGAUGCGCGAAAGCGUGGGGAGCAAACAGGAUUAGAUACCCUAGUAGUC